Non-coding RNA from Jatropha curcas, 377 nucleotides. Lineage: Eukaryota; Viridiplantae; Streptophyta; Magnoliopsida; Malpighiales; Euphorbiaceae. The record is from RefSeq and is a predicted model, not a curated record.
UUAUACUAAGAGUUGUACUCUGGCCCAAACCCAUCGGCCUCUCGCGUUUGUUGAAUCUGAAGUCCCUUCUCUUCUUCUUCGUCAGGAGGCACUGGCAGCAAACAAAAAGUUCCUCAGAGCCGUAGCCUUUUCUCAGGCCAGAAAAUCCCUCAGUUUUGGAAGCAGCACCCAAAGAAUGGAAAUAUGUGCUCCUAUUAAACAUCUUGCUCUGUUCUGCACCCGAUGCUCUUUGGCAGAAACAAACUGCAAAACCCUAGAAAACGACGCCUAGAAAUUCAGCCAAGGUUAAGAAUCAGUCUUGAGUGCUUUGCUAUUUGAUGAUGACAUGGUCAUUAGAGCUUUGAGGCCAGGAUCAAGAAUUCUUCUAUAUGAUGUGG